AAGUGUGAAUGAUGAGAAUACAAAAGAGAAACAGUUAUCCCUGUCUGAGCUAUAUGCCUGCUGAUCUUUUUUCUCUCUGACACUCCU
Nymphaea colorata (pocket water lily) is the source of this 87-nucleotide small nucleolar RNA. RefSeq annotates it as small nucleolar RNA R38. Lineage: Eukaryota; Viridiplantae; Streptophyta; Magnoliopsida; Nymphaeales; Nymphaeaceae. The record is from RefSeq and is a predicted model, not a curated record. The transcript has a single exon.